CCAGGUCCACACCCUUUUCCUGGGCGUGGUUGACUGCAUUAGAGAUUAGCACCUGACUGAGGCUGGCGAAUCAUUCCCAGGAAUUUGGAAGUAAGGCUGAGCCUUCAGCUCAGACUGAUGAGAUAAAGAGGAAUUCCUGCGUCCUCGGAAGCACUCUAGUCCCUGGUUCCAGCCUUUUCUGAGCCUAUUCUUGAGGCCCAGCCAGAUCUCUGCCCUUGAGUUCUGGGUUCUCUUCAAAUGUCUUAUGUUCCUUGGCUAUCUCUUCACACAUGUGUGCGACAUUACAACUGACUGGAAGCUCCGAGUACGUGGGCAGGGCUGCGGACACAUAGGCCUCACACAGGGAAACUGAUGGCCACCAUGUCACACACUGCAGUGGAAACCAUUCCCAGAGAAUCCAGUGCGAGUGCUCACCUGGAGUUGUGCAACAGUGCAGCCCUACAGGUACAGACAGAGUAAGAGGAGGACCUUGUUGUUUAUUACUGGGGAAUGAUUGGAAGACUGGAGUGAGUCCUUGGCCCACCCACAUUCAAUCUUUUUUUAUUUUUAUUUUUUAACUCUCCAGGGCUGUGUCUUUCUUUUAUUUCCCAUGUACUCUUUCUUUUCUUUUAAUUUAAUUUUUUUAAAUUUAUUUUUGGCUGCGUUGCCUCUUCGUUGCUGCACAUAGGCUUUCUCUAGGUGCUUUCUCUAGUUGUGGCAAGUGGGGGCUACUCUUCCUUGCAGUGCGAGGGCUUCUCCCUGCAGUGGCUUCUUUUGUUGAGAAGCACGGGCUCUAGGUGCACAUGCUUCAGUAGUUGUGGCACACAGGUCCUAGAGUGCACGGGCUUCAGUAGUUGUGGAACAUGGGCUCAGUAGUUGUGGCAUACAGGCUUAGUUGCUCUGAGACAUGUGGGAUCUUCCUGGACCAGGGAUUGAACGCGUGUCCCCUGCAUUGGCAGGUGGAUUCUUAACUACUCUACCACCAGGGAAGUCCUUACCAACACUUUAAACUCCGUGUAUCUAAAACUGAACACCUCAGGACUUCCCUGGUGGUCCAAUGGCUAAAACUCCAUGCUCCCAAUGAAGGGGGCCCAGGUUUGAUCCUUGGUCGGGGAACUAGAUCCCACAUGCCACAGCUAAGAGUUCACAUGCCGCAGCUAAAAGAUCCCACAUGCCGCAGCUAAAAGAUCCCACGUGCUGCAACUAAAAAGAGAUCCCACCUGCUGCCAUGAAGAUCCCGGGUGCCACAACGAAGACCCAGCACAGCCAAAUAAAUAAAUAUAUUUUUAAAAAUCUCCCUUUUAAAAAAAUAAAAUAAGAUAAAACUGAACACCUCAUCUUUGUUCCCAAACUGUUUUCUUCUCCUGACCUUACUGUUGCUGAAAUUGCUCUGGUUCAUAAGCUCGUAUCCUUUUUGCCCCAUUCUCUUCUAUAUCUAAAGUCUCAAGAUUUUGAAAAUAUUUUCUAGGCAAGAGUAAGUCUUAUUUUGCUAUCUGCCACCUAGCAAUACGUACAUGGACUCACUGUUAUAAUAUUUUAGUAUUUCUAUGUCAUUACAACAGUACCUGCCCUGUGUGCUCCUGUGUGUUGCAGAGGCUUAGACCUCUGUUCUAGCUCUCUCAUGCUUGCACUCAGGCGUGCUGCAGUGAUUUUCCUCCAUCACCAGACUUUUGAUUUCUCUCUUCCACUCCUGUCACCCUCAUGCAGGACUUUAGCCACCUCCCUCCUUGGGCAGGCAUGAGUAAUCAGGGCUGCUCUUCUUGCCCUUUGACCUAUUAAAGAUGUCUCCGUUGUGGAACAUUCUCCAGUGAUCCCAUAGUGUUUAUAGUGGUCUCUCUUGAUUUCAACUCUAUUUCCAGAUAUUGUUCUCCAGUUGUUGUUUUGUUUUGUUUUUCCCCCAUAUGUACCACUUG
Long non-coding RNA from Hippopotamus amphibius kiboko, 1892 nucleotides. RefSeq lists it as uncharacterized. The transcript has 4 exons. Lineage: Eukaryota; Metazoa; Chordata; Mammalia; Artiodactyla; Hippopotamidae. The record is from RefSeq and is a predicted model, not a curated record.